Molecule: long non-coding RNA, 1326 nt
Organism: Lucilia sericata (common green bottle fly)
Lineage: Eukaryota; Metazoa; Arthropoda; Insecta; Diptera; Calliphoridae
Exons: 3
Source: RefSeq, a predicted model, not a curated record
ACAGAUGAACAGAAAAUACAAAUACGAAAAGAAAGAUAAUUUUUAUAUAUUUUCAACUGAUUUUCACUUGUUGCACGCUUCUUUAAUUACACUCAAUUGCGAAUUACCAGAGUACAGUACAUAUCAACGAUUAAAAUCAAUUCAUACAACAAACAACUGCAGCAACAAAAAACACAACAACAACUGCAAAAUAUACAUAUCAUUUAAAAUAACAAACAUAAAAAAUGCAUCAUUAACCCCUCAACACCAAACAUCUCUGACAUCUCAGCUCUACUCUCAUAAACAGCUUCAUUAUUGUAAAACAUUACUUUUAGUUUAUUGUUGCAACAACAAUAAAACUAUUAUAAUGCAUAUUUUUUACGAAAAAAUCCUGCAGAAUCAUGCAUAGCAUACUUACACGUAAUGUCAGUAAAAAUGUCUCAACUUCCGCUUCUGUUUUUUGUUCUUUUCCGGCAAUGCACUUCCUAGAAAGUGGAGCACACACACACACCGACACAAUCAAAACAAACCACCAACAUGACAAUGAUUGUAGAAUCAAAACAUCAGCAGCAAGCAACAAUUACAGCAGCAUUGGUAGUAUCAUCAACAUCAUCGUACAGCAACACAUAUGAUUUUGAAAAAAAGAAAAACGUUGAAGCAGAGUUAAAAUACAAAAAAAGGAUAAACGGAUAUACAAGGAAACGGUGUAAACUAGCUAAGCAGAUAUCUCAACGUACAUCUGGCAGAUAUUGAAUACCACAAUAUUAUUUGUUGCAUUUAUAUGAUGACAUUUUGUUGACAAAACUUAAAAUCAUUUAUAAAUGACGUAAAUAAGAACAACAUUCAUUGAUUCCUUUACAAAACAUCUCAACAAACUCAAAAACACACAAAUUUUAAACACACCCAUAUAAAUACAAAAUAAAUUAUUCUAUUUAAAAUUAUAAAUAAGCAAAAGGCUGAAAAGAUGUUUUAAGGAUGGUAUAAUAUCAAAACUGAAGCAACUCCCAUAAACGAGGAUAAACACAGAAGUCUUUUAAAAAACUGACAAAAAAGAGGAAGGAAAGUCUUGCUUGAUUGAUACCUGGCCUUAGCUAAAAAGAUAGCUAAUUUAUUCUACUUAUGCUGAGUGAUAACAAACACAACAAAAUUUGAUUGAGUUGUUUUGGGGAGAAAGUCUGAUUAACAUUUGUAAAUGUGGACACACUUUUAUCUGUCAUUUAGGAAUAUUUUAAAUACUUUUCUGAUUGCACUCUUAAAUGUUUUCAAUAUAUGCAUAUGUAUUUCUAAAUAUUCAUAGCAAAAUAUAUAAAUUUGUAUACAAGCUUGUAAAUUUGUUGUUACAAUAAA